ACUAGGCGCCCGCUUCGACUUUUCGAAACACGAAGGGCCGCUCCUCCGGGAGCGGCCCUUUUCUUUUGGCCGC
This 73-nucleotide unclassified non-coding RNA is filed under the name Caulobacter sp. UNC279MFTsu5.1. RNAcentral describes it as "suhB". Lineage: Bacteria; Pseudomonadati; Pseudomonadota; Alphaproteobacteria; Caulobacterales; Caulobacteraceae. The record is from RNAcentral.